AGCCUGAGGAAGAGGGCGGCGACGGUGGUGGUGACUGAGCGGAGCCCGGUGACAGGAUGGCUGGGCACAGAGUAAGUUUCUUCACUUAGCUCCUACUAACAGUGGUGGUUGGGUGGCUGUUUACUGACUGGAUUUCUUACCCUUUUAAGGUCUGUUGAAAGGAAGUAACCGAAUUCCCAUGCUUUGAUUGGGUUGGCUCUUUAUUUUAAUUUAAUAAGACUGCCAUUUCCAGGAUCUUUUGCUUUCUUAAAGGACUCUAUCAUCUAUGUCUAUCCCGAUUUGUCAAAGUGUGGAAUUUGGGCGGGAACAUGUUUCAAAGUAUGACACGUGUUAUGUAACACUAUUUCCCCAUAACUUUGUCAUCAGCAGGAAACCAGAGGAUUCUGUCCUAGUAAGGAUCCCUACUAAUUUGAAAUGAUUGUGUGGUCAUUCAUACAGUUAUAUCUUUAGACUGCUAAUAGUCUUGAGUCUUGGAGAUAAUCCACAGUACUUUAUAGAAUUAGGUCAUCAAUCAUUAUAAAGUACCAUGUCUUACUAAUGUUCUUUCUGGUACAUUCAGAUUGAACAGCUCAUUCAUUAUUAGUACCAAACAUUUCAACCUGUUGUAGACAUAUACCCUUUUAUGAGUUUGGGGUGGUGGUUGUUGUUGUUGUUCUUCUUCUUCUUUUAAAUAUAGAAAUCUAUUAUUUUUACCUUUUUCUCAAAGCAAGAUUCCCAUACUAACUAUGUACUUCAAUCCAUAUCAGAAGGAAUCCCCCUCUAAAAUGAAGAUUGUUCUAUAUCCAGGUACUUUUAUGUUGAUUACCAGUG
This 810-nucleotide long non-coding RNA is filed under the name Homo sapiens (human). Its description in RNAcentral is "non-protein coding lnc-GPN3-3:6". The record is from RNAcentral. Lineage: Eukaryota; Metazoa; Chordata; Mammalia; Primates; Hominidae.